This 932-nucleotide non-coding RNA is filed under the name Trichomonas vaginalis G3. RNAcentral describes it as "Eukaryotic large subunit ribosomal RNA". It matches the Rfam family "Eukaryotic large subunit ribosomal RNA", at positions 1779 to 2924 of the family's 3401-position model. The record is from Rfam by way of RNAcentral. Lineage: Eukaryota; Parabasalia; Trichomonadida; Trichomonadidae.
UAUGUCAAUGGCUAUUGGAUUGGUCCAUGAAGCGAAAAAUAGUUUACUGUGUCACUCGUACCGAUAACCGCAUCAGGUCUUCUAGGUAAGUAGCCUAUGGCCAUUGAGGCAUGAUAGUUCAGGGAAUUCGGCCAAUUAGAGCUGUAACUUCGGGAUAAAGCUUGGCUCUGAUGAAAAUCAGAACCGAUUGUUACGCGGAGAGCCCAACUGUUUAAUAAAAACGUAGUGUCGCGCUGUGGUAGUAUAGCCAGUGAACGCGACAUGAAUCCUGCUCAGUGCUGUGUCUGUUAAUAUGGUUCAAGCCAACGAAGCACCGGUAAAUAGCUGGGGUAACUAUGACUCUUAUCAAAGUAGCGAAAUACCUCGUCACUUAAUUAGUGACCUGCAUGAACGGAGCUAUGAGGUUCUCACUGUCCCAAACUGUCUCUCAGCGAACCAACUGUAGUGGGAACGGUCACUAGAUAUCCAGCGGGGAAAGAAGACCCUGUAGAGCUUCACUUUGGUCUAGUCUUGUAUAGUUCCUGCGGGGGUGUAGACUAGGUGGGAGAGCAAUCGAUUCUGAAAAACCACUACCCUGUUUGGAAUUAUGCUUACCUAUCACAAGGAAUAGGACUAGAUAGAAAGUUUGGCUGGGGCGGCACACCUUCGAAAGAGCAGCGAAGGUGUCCUAAGUUGAGCUCAGUGAGGACAGAAAUCUCACGUUGAGGAUAAGGCCAAAAGCUCAAUUUACUGUGCCUUUUUGUACUAGGAUCAGUUACGAAAGUAAGGCCUAACGAUCCCUAAAUAGCCUCAGGUGCGUGAGGAUUGGGGUGACAGACAAGUUACCUCCGGGACAACUGGCUUGUGGCUGCUAAGAGAUCAAAUCAACGCAGCUUUUUGAUUCUUCGAAUGUCGGCUCUUCCUAUCCUAGUGAUGUACAAGUUGCUAAGGGU